RNAcentral lists this long non-coding RNA (328 nucleotides) under Zostera marina. RNAcentral describes it as "long non-coding RNA (ZMAR_LNC001822)". Lineage: Eukaryota; Viridiplantae; Streptophyta; Magnoliopsida; Alismatales; Zosteraceae. The record is from RNAcentral.
UUCUUCCCAUUCCAUAUAAAGAUGUAUGAUAGUUUCCUUAGGUCCUCUAGUACCUCUAUUGGAAGGCAGGCUAAGAAAUUCCAAAAGUUGAAAAUUCCCAUAACCCCCCAAUGAUACAAUUGGACUCUUCAAGCAUGAGAUAGAAGUUUGCAUGUCACAGUGGCAUAAGUGCAACCAACAUUUAGAAACAACUACAAUUAGAUUUGGACAUUGACAAUACCCCAAGUAACACCUCACCGGUAGAGGAGGAUGGGAGCUCACGACAGCCGGCCACCGGCAUCACACGACCCACUCGUCAACGACGGUCGACCCAAGAUUCUCAGUUUAG